Long non-coding RNA from Passer domesticus (house sparrow), 3169 nucleotides. RefSeq lists it as uncharacterized. The record is from RefSeq and is a predicted model, not a curated record. The transcript has 2 exons. Lineage: Eukaryota; Metazoa; Chordata; Aves; Passeriformes; Passeridae.
CCUAGAAGUCUCCAUGCUGCUAAAGAGCUGUCAUGUCACUCACAGGCUCCACGGUGACAUUCCAAGGGUGUCCAAGGCUGCAAAAGAACCAUGAGAUCACACGCUGUUAGAGGAACUCCACAGGGACAUCCCAGGGGAUCCAGGCUGCUAAAGAAGUGCUUUGUCACAGCCACUCAGAGGGGCUCCAUUGUGACAAGCCAGUGGCUGCUGUGCUCCUAAAGAGCAGUGAGGUCACAGGCAAUGACAGCAGCUCUGUGCUGACAUCCCCUGUGUUUCUACGCUGCUAAAGAACUCAGACAUCACCAGAACUGACAGUGGCUCCAUGGUGACAUCCCAGGUUUUUCUAAACUGCUGAAGUGCACUCAGCUCAAAGGUCCGCCCAAGGCUUCCAUCCUCACAUCCCAGAGGGAUCCAGGUUUCUAAAGAGCCCUGAGCCCACCUGCACUCACAGGGCUUCCAUGGUGACAUCGUGGGGCUCUCUGGGCCUUCUAGGGAGCCAGCAGGUCACCGGCACUGACAGGCGCCCCAUGCUCACAUCCUGCAAGACUCUGGGCGGCUAAAGAGACGGCAGGAGCAGUACAGGAGUUCUAUGACAGGAAGACGGCAUGAGGAUUAAGAAGAAGAAGUUGACAGUGACCAGAAAGAAUCCUGUGUUUGAAUGGAAUCUAUGCAUCAUGUAUGAGAUGUAUGAAUAUGCAACAGGCAAUUGUUUUUAAGGGUUAAUCCUCUGUUAACGGGGGUCCUUUUUCGGGCUUGUGCUGCCCAGAAAAAGGUACCCGGACGUCCGUAUCUCUUUGUUUUUAUUGUCUCAUAUUGUCCUCAUCUCAAAUGUUCAAAUUUUACUAUUCUAAUUAUAUUACUAUUUUUAUAACCAUUUUAUUACUAUUAAACUUUUAAAAUUUCAAAAACAAGUGACUGGCGUUUUUCACAAUCAUGGUAGCAGAGGAUGGUUCACACCUCGCUGCCGGUGCCUUAGGAGUCAGAGUGGGGAGGCGCGCCCUGCCCGAUUUGGCAGCCUCGCUCUGCUUCCCCUGGUGCAACCGACAGAUGCAGGUUACAUCGGUGGACAAGGAGAGGCAAUAAAACAAAGGGAAGGGAAAAAGGCUCCCUUUCUAAAACCACGGUAAUUGGCCCCCUAAGAGUAGUAGUGCACACCAAGAACCCGGAAAAGAAAAAGGAUUGGUAAGUACUUUUUGGGGGGGCAGGUACGGGGGGAUGAAUGAGAGGCGGGCUGGUUGUCCCAGACCUGCUACCCAAGUGUGGAGUCUCCCAUGCUGCGGUUCCGUCUUUCCAUGAGGAAAACGGCCAGGAAAGAGACGAAGUGAAUGUUAAAAGGAGUGAGAGAAUCCCCCGGGGUAACUGGGACUGGGUCUCAGGGAGGGGUUGGAUCCCUCGGAGGAAGGGAGCAGAGUUUCCUAGCCCAAUCCACUAGGAAACGGGACAAGAGGGGCCCCUGAAAACCUGCUGGGUUGAGGGAUUUACAUUCCAAUAGCAUCCAGAGUUGAGCAGAAUUCUGCCGGUUGAGGAUAUGCCCAAGAGCAUCCGCGGUUGGACAACUCAGCAAGAUUGAGGCAUAAACAUUUUAACCAAGAACAUCCGGGGUUAGACAGCACAGCUAGAUGGAGGGAUAAAAAUAUUUUUGCCCAAGAGCAUCCAGGGUUGGACAACACAGCCAAAAAAAUAGACAUGCUUAAGAGCAUCCGGGUUGUACCACAUAGCUGGAUUGAGGGGGAAAAUGCCCAAGAGCAUCUGGGGUUGGACAGCACAGCUGGAUUGAGGGAUAUCCAAUAGCACCGGGACUGGCCAGUAACACCUAAAAUUGUAAUAGGUGGUUUGAAAGUAAAAGGUACCUUAUUGUUGUCUUGUUGUGUGUGUGACCUGCACACAGGCCAUUGUCUCCAGGGCAAGGGGGAACUCUGGCUCAGGUACAAGUGACCUGCAACGGGCCACUGUUCUCCCUGGUGUGUGGAGGGGGCUGUGGCUAAAGAGUGUGAGAGACACGCAAACAGCCUCACAAGGGAACUGGCACCCGAGGCACCAGAGCCAGAGCCCUUCCAGGAGGCCCAGCGAGAGGCCAACCCCAAGGCGAAAAGGGGGGGCACAGGGACCCGUGAUUCUCUCGAGAUAGAGAUUCAGUUUGGGUGUGAGUCGUUGAAAGAAAAGCGGUGGUUAAGCUGUUAGUGAGAAUGAGAAACAGAGGCAGAGGAUGAAUAGAUAAGAUCUUGAAAAUGGAAUAGAAAACCAGUAAAUUAGGUACAGGAAAAAGGGGGAAUAGAAGCAUACUAGCGGAGAUACCCCAAGAUAGCCCUUUGGGAGUUAUGUUAGCUAACAGAAAUACAACUCCUUGCAAAAGGAGAAAAUACAGCAUAUGCAGUAGUUGAUAGGAAAAAAACACAAACAUGCAAACUGUUGAAAUAGAAAAAUUACCAUCAACUGGUCAGCUCAAACCUGUGAAUUAUAUGCUCUAAAAGAGCACAGGAAUAUUUAGUACCAAAAAGGAAAUACAUAUAUAUAUAUACUGAUCCAAGGUAUGCCUUUGGAGUAGUACAUACCUUUGGAAAAAUUUGGGAAGAAGAACUACUUAAUUCAAGAGGAAACAGAUUAGUACAUAAGGGGCUCAUUUUAGAAGUUUUAGAGGCAUCAAAAUUACCUGAAGAGGUAGCUAUAGUACCCAUUAAAGAACGCAAAAAAAGUUAAAGAUCACUGAAAUCAGUGGAAAUAAUUUGGCAGAUCAGGAAUCUAAAGAUGCAGUAGAAAAUGGAGCUGAAAGAGUUAUGUUAAUAUUAAUUCCAAAUGAAAAAAAAAUGGAAAUUUCAAAGUUUAGGGAGGCAGAAAAAAAAAAUUAAAGAUAGGUGGUGAAUAAGAUGAAUCAGAGAAAUAGAAACUUUGUGAAGGAAGACAAUUAGUUAAUAAAAUGCUUACUAGGGAAUAUUAGAAGACAUGCAUCAGAAAACCCACUGGGGCACUCAAGCUUUGUGUGAUCAUUUUUUUAGAAACUAUGGGUACAUUGGGAUCUUUAGAGCAGCAAAGCAAGUAACUGAAAAAGAUAUAAUUUGCGAAAGGGUAAAUAAAAAAGUGAUGAGUAAAACAACAUGAGGACAUCGUAAGUUAGCUUGUUGACCAUUUCAAAGUAUCCAAGCAGAAGUUUGGAUUUGUUAAGCUCUGGAUU